Molecule: ribosomal RNA, 427 nt
Filed under: uncultured bacterium
Lineage: Bacteria
Description: partial 16S ribosomal RNA
Rfam family: Bacterial small subunit ribosomal RNA
Source: RNAcentral
UGGGGAAUAUUGCACAAUGGGCGCAAGCCUGAUGCAGCCAUGCCGCGUGUAUGAAGAAGGCCUUCGGGUUGUAAAGUACUUUCAGCGGGGAGGAAGGUGUUGUGGUUAAUAACCUCAGCAAUUGACGUUACCCGCAGAAGAAGCACCGGCUAACUCCGUGCCAGCAGCCGCGGUAAUACGGAGGGUGCAAGCGUUAAUCGGAAUUACUGGGCGUAAAGCGCACGCAGGCGGUCUGUCAAGUCGGAUGUGAAAUCCCCGGGCUCAACCUGGGUUCUGCGUCCGAAACUGGCAGGCUUGAGUCUUGUAGAGGGGGGUAGAAUUCCAGGUGUAGCGGUGAAAUGCGUCGAGAUCUGGAGGAAUACCGGUGGCGAAGGCGGCCCCCUGGACAAAGCCUGACGCUCAGGUGCGAAAGCGUGGGGCGCAAACA